GGGUACAUAGCUCAGUGGCAGAGCGCAUGCUUAGCACACACGAGGUCCUGGGUUCAGUCCCCAGUACCCCCA
This 72-nucleotide transfer RNA is filed under the name Camelus bactrianus (Bactrian camel). It matches the Rfam family "tRNA". From Rfam's summary of the family: Transfer RNA (tRNA) molecules are approximately 80 nucleotides in length. Lineage: Eukaryota; Metazoa; Chordata; Mammalia; Artiodactyla; Camelidae. RNAcentral also lists the same sequence under 1 other name. The record is from Rfam by way of RNAcentral.